Molecule: non-coding RNA, 72 nt
Organism: Potamilus streckersoni
Lineage: Eukaryota; Metazoa; Mollusca; Bivalvia; Unionida; Unionidae
Source: the annotation of a GenBank genome assembly
GCUCCAGUGGCCUAGUGGUUAGAGCGUCCGACUCAGAUGCAGGAGGUCGCAAGUUCGAAUCUGGCUGAGUCA